Molecule: ribosomal RNA, 497 nt
Filed under: uncultured bacterium
Lineage: Bacteria
Description: partial 16S ribosomal RNA
Rfam family: Bacterial small subunit ribosomal RNA
Source: RNAcentral
GAUGAACGCUGGCGGCGUGCCUAAUACAUGCAAGUCGAGCGAACGGACGAUAAGCUUGCUUCUCUGAUGUUAGCGGCGGACGGGUGAGUAACACGUGGAUAACCUACCUAUAAGACUGGGAUAACUUCGGGAAACCGUAGCUAAUACCGGAUAAUAUUUUGAACCGCAUGGUUCAAAAGUGAAAGACGGUCUUGCUGUCACUUAUAGAGGGAUCCGCGCUGCAUUAGCUAGUUGGUAAGGUAACGGCUUACCAAGGCAACGAUGCAUAGCCGACCUGAGAGGGUGAUCGGCCACACUGGAACUGAGACACGGUCCAGACUCCUACGGGAGGCAGCAGUAGGGAAUCUUCCGCAAUGGGCGAAAGCCUGACGGAGCAACGCCGCGUGAGUGAUGAAGGUCUUCGGAUCGUAAAACUCUGUUAUUAGGGAAGAACAUAUGUGUAGGUAACUGUGCACAUCUUGACGGUACCUAAUCAGAAAGCCACGGCUAACUACGUG